UGUACUACGGUAGGGGCGUCUAUAUGGGCGUCGUUAAGUCGACAGGAGGAGAGUGCGGUUGGACUGUGUGGAGGGGAAGGGUAGGGAAGGGAAGGAAGGGCAAUCAAUCAACGGCGAGCGGUGGCGUGGCGUGGCGUGGCGUGGCGUUCUCCUUCCCGUGAGCGGGCGGGAGGAGUGGAACGAAGGCGUCUUUCUAGGUAAACCAACCUGACCGCCACCGAGGGGACGUGUGGCGUCACCAUUUCAGCGCGGGAAAACACACACGCGAACGGAACGGCGGCGCCGUAGGCAGGGCGGGGCACCUAUUGAUCACUAUCUAGACCCUCCGCGUCUAGACUGGCCACCAUAAGAGGAAGGGCAGGGCAGCCGCUCACAAACGACCCUCUUUUAAACAACCCCGGUACCCCUUCUUCCCGUUCACCGACCCGCGGCAGUUCUUCCACAAGUCGGGACUCAGGUUCCUCUUCUUCCUCCUCUUUGACUCCUUCUUUAACCGACGUUCUCUGGGGUCAGGUGGUCUAGAUUGUGGAAGAUGAAGGAACCUUCAGUUACAAAGCUACGGCGGCGGCGGAGGGCGGCAAGGAAGAGGCGUGGUUUGACUCCUCCAAGUCCAGGCACUACAACUCGACCUCGUCCUCGUCCUCGUCUCGUUCGUACACUGGCACCUCCGUCGGGGACUACGAGGACGCGUCUGCAGCCGCCGUAACGGUGGACCACAUAGCUCCCUUCUCGAGCGCCGUUAGUUCUAGGUCUGGCGGAAGUCCCCUAUGGACCGUUCCUCCCGUGAUGCUCGGAACUCCCCGGAACAAUCUAACUUCAGUAACCAGCUCCCAUUAAGCCAGUUCGCAGUUCGACGAUCAUGAGACGCGACAUACGUCUGAGAGCGUGCCCACGUCAGUGUCUAUGCAAGUUCUUCCGACUUCUACAGACUCCUCUUGGUCCGGGAGGUCGCGGUCGAGGACGACUUUGUUCUUAACCUGUCAAACUCCUACCCCCUCGUGACCCUGCUGUGGUGAGUUAGGUUCCUCUUCUAGCUUCGUUCAGACUAUUCGUCCGUUCUCCGACGCUAUUCUUCUCUCUCUCGCGAGCGUAUGCGCAAAAGGGUAGUCACCUUCUCGUCAAGUUCCAGGAGGUUGGGUUACAAACAUCUGGGUUUGUUGGGUGUGACCCCGACCUCGACCGACCUUGCGACCUACCGUCGUUUCGGAAGACUCCGGCCGGCGUGACCUUGGCCGUUCCUUUCGUUGUAACUGGUCCCUAGUCACUUCUCGUGCUCAAACUUGGAACCUCUCCCACUCUAGUGAUUUCGGAAGUUGGCAUCCCCGAGGUUCGGUCUGUUCAGCAGUGGUUGCUGAGGUUUCGACUGGGCGGGUCGAAGGGCCGAUAGGGGAACAUGUGGGUGACGGUUUCACUGUGGUUAUCAACACUUCUUCUUUAGACGAUGAGGCUUCUUGCCCUAAAGUGUCCACCUACUGCUACGUUCCUCGCACGAGUCACACGUCAGACUCGCUGGUUCCGCCGUGUCGUAUCGGUGGAGUUGCCACGCCCUACUGCUCUCGGAGCGUUCGAGAGACAGUCAGGGUUCGAUGUACCGACGGUGUUUUAGACGAUCCCGGUUCAGGGCGGAGGUCCCCAGUGGUGACUAGCUAUCACGUCUCUGCUGUGGUCUCUUUCCUCCGAGACAAUCACAACCCAGUCGGUUCUUCUCCGACAGGAAGGGUCGACCUCCCCACGGGGGGAGCGGUUACUCCGCCGUAAGACCGGGAGGUUUCCACCUCUCGUACCACUUCCUGUAGGGGCUCCGCGGCGUCGGUCUCCGGGACCGCUAGUCGCCAACUCUGUUUGUUCGUUGAGUACGUUCACCCCUGCCCUGAUACCUAAUACGUCUAUAUAUGUGUAAAGUGGGUACUUUUUUUCCAAUUUCAAGAAGCUUAACAACGUAAAACAAAAGUAGGUUAAUAAUAACGCUGAUGUAACAGCCGAAGUAAUCCCCUUCUGAGAGCCACAGCAGACAGACAGGUAAAGUAAACAACGAACGAACACAUUUUGGUAUACCCCAAACAACAAACAUACAUGUGUCCAGAAGAUAAAUACGCUCGUUAUAUAAAGAAGGUACGUACGGAAGGGU
This 2128-nucleotide ribosomal RNA is filed under the name Triticum aestivum (bread wheat). RNAcentral describes it as "partial small subunit ribosomal RNA". Lineage: Eukaryota; Viridiplantae; Streptophyta; Magnoliopsida; Poales; Poaceae. The record is from RNAcentral.